This is a non-coding RNA of Pelobates cultripes (western spadefoot toad), 452 nucleotides long. The record is from the annotation of a GenBank genome assembly. NCBI's taxonomy places the organism in Eukaryota, Metazoa, Chordata, Amphibia, Anura, Pelobatidae.
AUGGUCUUGUGUCAGUACAGACACUACUGCAUUCCACAGGUCUCAGCCUACAUUCCUGGUACGUCUACCCUCAGGUCAUUGGACUCAGCAGGUAUUUAGCAUAUGUACUCAUGGUAUUUCAGCACCUCCUAUCAUGUUCCCCGUAUAGACCAUACAACGAUCAUAUGUUACGCUGAAAGUUACUGUACGACAUCAGUAUGGCCAUAUUUCAGAUAUGGCUACGCUGUCAUGACCAGUAACUUUCAGCUGAUCUACAACUAGAUAACCACCAAACCCACCCCAUUAAAGUCCACUCAGACUUACAUUACCUCCCAGUACCACAGGAACUACAUUGGGCCGCGCUCAACCUCUCAUGCAUAGUCCUCACACAAAGCCAUCUAUGGACCAUUGGCAACAUAAGUCAGGUAACCUUAGGGGACAAAUACGUCCUAUUUGCAACCCCUAAGUUCACA